RNAcentral lists this ribosomal RNA (253 nucleotides) under uncultured bacterium. RNAcentral's name for it is "partial 16S ribosomal RNA". It matches the Rfam family "Bacterial small subunit ribosomal RNA", at positions 524 to 776 of the family's 1533-position model. The record is from RNAcentral.
UACGUAGGGUGCAAGCGUUAAUCGGAAUUACUGGGCGUAAAGCGUGCGCAGGCGGUUUUGUAAGUCUGUCGUGAAAGCCCCGGGCUCAACCUGGGAAUUGCGAUGGAGACUGCAAGGCUUGAAUCUGGCAGAGGGGGGUAGAAUUCCACGUGUAGCAGUGAAAUGCGUAGAUAUCUGGAGGAACACCGGUGGCGAAGGCGGCGUCCUGGACCAACACUGACACUGAUGAGCGAAAGCCAGGGGAGCAAACGGG